GACGAACGCUGGCGGCGUGCUUAACACAUGCAAGUCGAACGGGCCCGCUCUCUUUUUUGGGGGUGGGUUGAGUGGCGAACGGGUGAGUAUCACGUGAGUAACCUGCCCCCUGCUCCUGGAUAACUGCUUGAAAGGGCGGCUAAUACGGGGUGUGCCGGCUGGUCCGCAUGGGCCUGGUCGGGAUAGUUUCAUCUUCGGGUGUUUCGGUGGGGGAUGGGCUCGCGGCCUAUCAGCUUGUUGGGGGGGUGAUGGCCCACCAGGGCGGUGACGGGUAGCCGGCCUGGGGGGGUGGGCGGCCUGCCUGUGACUGAGCCACCGCCCAGACUCCUGCGGGAGGCGGCGGGGGGGGGUGUUGCGCGAUGGGCGGGUGCCUGAUGCAGCGCCGUCGCGUGAGGGAUGGAGGCCUUCGGGUUGUGAACCUCUUUCUCCGGUGGUGAAGGCCCUGUCCGUUGCGGCGGGGUUGACGGUAGCCGGGUAUGAAGCGCCGGCUAACUACGUG
This 499-nucleotide ribosomal RNA is filed under the name uncultured bacterium. Its description in RNAcentral is "partial 16S ribosomal RNA". It matches the Rfam family "Bacterial small subunit ribosomal RNA", at positions 28 to 507 of the family's 1533-position model. The record is from RNAcentral.